GCUAYCACUUACAGAUGGACCCGCGGCGCAUUAGCUAGUUGGUGAGGUAACGGCUCACCAAGGCRACGAUGCGUAGCCGACCUGAGAGGGUGAUCGGCCACACUGGGACUGAGACACGGCCCAGACUCCUACGGGAGGCAGCAGUAGGGAAUCUUCCGCAAUGGACGAAAGUCUGACGGAGCAACGCCGCGUGAGUGAUGAAGGUUUUCGGAUCGUAAAACUCUGUUGUUAGGGAAGAACAAGUACCGUUCGAAUAGGGCGGUACCUKACGGUACCUAACCAGAAAGC
RNAcentral lists this ribosomal RNA (288 nucleotides) under Bacillus licheniformis. Its description in RNAcentral is "partial 16S ribosomal RNA". It matches the Rfam family "Bacterial small subunit ribosomal RNA", at positions 211 to 491 of the family's 1533-position model. Lineage: Bacteria; Bacillati; Bacillota; Bacilli; Caryophanales; Bacillaceae. The record is from RNAcentral.